This 468-nucleotide long non-coding RNA is filed under the name Bos taurus (domestic cattle). RNAcentral's name for it is "long non-coding RNA NONBTAT000413". The record is from RNAcentral. Lineage: Eukaryota; Metazoa; Chordata; Mammalia; Artiodactyla; Bovidae.
AAAUUGCUUAAAGGGUCAAGUGAAACUAUGAUAAUACUAACCACAUAAUAACUCAUGCAACAGAAUAAGUUUAUCCUAUGGAUGUUUUAAAUAGAGCAGGUACUAUCAGUUAACUUUUUAAAACCUUAUCUCCCCUUUGAUGCUGUUUGAAUUUUAUUUGCUACUUUUCAAAGUGUAAGGUUUAUUUUGUUCUUCUGGGACUGAACCUAUGGUUCUAGGGCACUCAAUGGACCAGUAGCUUAGGAACUGAAGUUCUGGUCUACCAAGCACCAUAAUAAUAAAAACAUUUAGGGAGCAUAUAAUUAAUAAAAGCAACAUAUUUCUGUGUAGUGGUAGUUGGGAGGGUGAUGGAUUUGGUAAUAAAAUGAAUGAGGAUCAUAUCUGAAAGAUAUGUUAGAAAGGAGACUGAGGUUUGUUAUAAUACCAGAUUGAGGUUUUGGAUGGAACACAUAGAGUUAUGUCUUUCUA